Argentina anserina (silverweed cinquefoil) is the source of this 550-nucleotide long non-coding RNA. RefSeq lists it as uncharacterized. The record is from RefSeq and is a predicted model, not a curated record. Lineage: Eukaryota; Viridiplantae; Streptophyta; Magnoliopsida; Rosales; Rosaceae. The transcript has 3 exons.
CGCCGCCGCCGCCGCCAGAAUUUCCGGCUACUCUACAGCAGAAUUCUCCACCACCCAUCUUAAAACACGGACACCAAAUGGUCACCGUCGAGCAGUAACUCGCCGCCGACAUCUUGUUAUCAACUCUACUUUGUUGUCUGGUGUCGCUUUCGAGUUCUGGUUCUGAUUGAAGCAAGGUACCUCUCUGCCAUUGCUGCCUAAACCAUGUUUGUAGUAUCUCCACACUCUUGUUUUACGCAUGAACUUCAGUGAUCAGGAUGAGAUUAUAACUGCUCUAUGUGUCCUGAGAAGCUCGCCUGUUUUACAAACCUACGUAUUUCAGCUCGCCAAGAUGUCCAUGUUCGUGUAGAAGUAAACUCUUGGUUAGAUGAUAACCAAACUUUCCUAUUCACCGAACUGAGACUUGUGGAGAUUAGCCGCCUCUCUGGCAUCAAAGUUGAACUAGAUUUCAUCGGACUUUUGCUUUCAAGUUCCCCUGUGCUUGAGAGAAUGACCAUUGCCAGCAUUGCGCCUGGUGCUGUUGCUGAUGCCAUUUACUCAGAACUACUAA